AAAUAAAAAAAAAAAAAAUCAAAUUAUCCCUAUUUACAAAUAACAUAAUUAUAUAUCUAAAAAACCCCAUCGUCUCAACCCAAAAUCUCCUUAAACUAAUAAACAACUUCAACAAAAUCUCAAAAUACAAAAUCAAUAUACAAAAAUCACAAACAUUCUUAUACACCAAUAACAAACAAACAAAAAACCAAAUCAUAAAUAAACUCCCAUUCACAAUUACUUCAAAAAAAAUAAAAUACCUAAAAAUCCAACUUACAAAAAAUAUAAAAAACCUCUUCAAAAAAAACUACAAACCACUACUCAAAAAAAUAAAAAAAAAUACAAACAAAUAAAAAAACAAAUGUACACAGUUCUACAGAAGUACACUUCUGCGAUAAGGUAUUUUGUUUUACAAAGAAAACAGCUUUACAAAAUAUAUGAGAAACCUGUAAAUCUAGCUCUGUUAACUGGAUGGGAAAGCAGUUAAUUUUAGAGGGAUUAAAUUCAGCAGCCAUUUGCUGUCCCCAGAGAGUGAACACCGACAAAUUUCUUCUCUUCUCAUUUGUCUUCCUCUUCUUCACCUCGCCUAUAUUGAUGUUAAUUGGAGCUGAAAUUCGUGGUAAAUUGUAACUUUCACAAGCUGACGUUUUGUAUUCUCCGUAUGCAUUCCUUUCGCAAAGAUGAUUCUGCAAAUAUGGCUUUAAUAAAAUCUUCUACCUCUGACACUGUAAAACCAGAGUUGAGGAGUUCCCCGCUCUCCCAAGCUGUUGUAAUGGAUUUCAAGGGCAUGUCUAGCAGUUCUGAGAAUUAUAAAGCAAAAUAGUGAGAACUUGAGGUAGGAAAAAGAAAAAGAAAUGAGACAACAUCAAAUACUUAUCUAUCAACUUCCAGAAACAAACUUAAGCGAAAGACUGAAACCAUGCCUGCAAGUUUGCGAAUUUUACGUAAAGAUGGUAUGAGAUCAUCUAGAGGAAAUCUAGAAUACUCUUCUGACUUCUCCUUUUGGAUGACAGCAAUCAAGGACUCCGUCAAAGAAGUUAGGCUUUCCAACAUCAAAUGGAUGAGUCUUUGAAGCUGUAAUGUUUCCUCGGCAGCCAUAUCAUCUAGAAGGAGUAUGUCUCUCACCAUUCUAGAAAAAACUGACUCUAAAACUAUACAUGUGCUUUUCUUGUAAAUGGGAGGCAGCAAGAGUGGCUCCCAUAUAAGACGUACUUUUUCAAGAAUAAAAACCACCUGAUCUAUACUAAACUUUGUAGAUUCAAAUUGUUUGAUUUUAUGAGUAUUUUGAAAGCCGUCAGCACCAUCUAUGGCCUCUUUCAAAUUAAAAAUAACAAGUUGGAUUUGUCUAUGUAGUAUCUCCUCUGACAAUAUAUGAAAUCGUGGAGCCAUGUCAACAAAAACAGCAUGUUCCUUGAUACAAUUUGGGAAGUCUGACCUAUACUCAAAUGCCAGUCCUAAUAUCUCUUGGGAUAGAUAGAGACAGUCAUUGUGCAUGAGAACAGCAACCUGGUUGAUGCUAUCAAGCUGCCUUUCUAGCUUUACAGGAAUAACAGCCUCAUACAGAAGUAUAGCAUCCCUUGCUGCACGAUAGAAUUCAAGUGCGACUCUUGGAGAUGACAAACAAACAUCCUUAAGCGUCUUAUGCACUAGCUCCAUAAGUUGGGAAGCUGAUUUGGACACCACACACCUCUCGGAUAGAAAGAGCAAGUCAACAACAUGCUCAGAAGAAUUUACAGCUAUUCCAGCACUCUUCAGUGGACGACCUUCUCUUAUAUAUUCUUGUGGAAUGGAAAAGUCACACUGUAAAAGCAAAUUUCUAGCUUUUGCCAAAAUUUCUGUCUUCUUCCUAGAUGCAAAGUGAAUCUCAACAUUUUCUGCAAAAUUGCUCAAUUUUUGGUCUGUGCUAUCAGAUGCUGAAAUAAAUUUCAUUUCUUUUAACUCAGUCUCAAACUCAGAUGUGAGUUUGAUGAUCUUCAGAAAGUCAGUAAGUUUUGAAGCAUCCUCAGGAACCGCCUUGGAGAGGAAGCUAGAAAUAAUCAAGUCAGAUAUACUGGUCCAUGUCAAUCUUCCAAAACUCUGAUUCCAAAAAACAUUUUGGAAGCAUAUGCGUUCAUAAAUAAACUUUACAACCUGAAUGAUCCUUGAAUACAUAUUCUCACCAUCCACAUCUUCCAUCUUUGGAUCAAAUGAUGGUACCAUCUUCAACACUGCCUCAGCUGUUGCUUCCGAGACUUUUUCAGAAUCUUCUACAAAUGAAAUGGACGAUCGAGAAUUAACAGCAGGAGUUAUAACAAACUUGAUCAUCUGGUCAGCCACUUUAGCAAGCCCAUAAUCCAAAAUUCCAAUCACUUCCAAUGCUUCCAAAACCGUGUGAAGGUCAACCCCAGCAAUUCCAUCCAUGCUCAACUGAUACUUGACCCGAAUUCCACCAGAAUCUGGUUCAAACCGUACUGCAUUUUCCAUGAACCUCACGAGCACAUCUUGAAUCUCUUCAAAGCAAUCGAGCCACUCCUUCCUUAACAAGCCGUACACCACAGGAUCCUUCUCAUCCUCAUCACCAAUCCUCAAGGCCUUCUUUAAGUCCCUUACUUCCUCAGCAGCAAAUCUCAGCCGUCCAUUCUUCAAUGCCUCUCUUACAUCUCUCAACCUGUCACUGAUUCCCACAAGUGCCCUUACCAACUCCAACAAUUCCUUCUUCACCCUCAGCUCCCUCAUCUUCACACUCGCUUCCUCAACAAUCUCCCUAAUCUCAACAUCAAUAGGAGAAUCAGAAAGCAAGCCUAUGAGAUCCGAAACCUUCUCAUUGAUUUGAUUAGCCUGUGAAACGGCGUCGUUGCAGAGGGAGAAGAGAGAGGAGAAGUCGCUGUGGUGAGAAAGGAUGUAAGAUUGUACUCUGGACUUGAUUUGGAGAGAAUGAGAUUCGAGCCUGGUUAUGAGGAGGCGGAGAUCAGGUGCGGAAAGUGGGGAGGUAGGGUCCGUCAGGUCGCCGGUGGAAAGUAGGUCUCGGACGUUGAUUGCGUCGAACAAAGCGUCCAUUGGAACGACCGGACUGUAAAUGGCGGUUAGAAAGAAUUUUCAGUCUCUUAGUGCAGCGGAUUUUGGAGUGAAUAUACAGUGGAAUAAGACGAAAUUGG
This 3113-nucleotide unclassified non-coding RNA is filed under the name Hevea brasiliensis (rubber tree). The record is from RNAcentral. Lineage: Eukaryota; Viridiplantae; Streptophyta; Magnoliopsida; Malpighiales; Euphorbiaceae.